ACCAGCAAGGAGGCAGCUGGCCUUAGCAGGCAAAAAAAGCCAGAGCCUGAGGCAGCAGAAGUGGAGGAGAGCUGGUCUGAGAGCUGUUUAUGCAGAGACAUCAUCUCUGACCCUUCCCCGCAGCUGAAAAUGCUAUCUGUGUGUGUAGGCGUGUGCCUAUUUAGCAAGCUUGAUAUUUUAUCAUCAAAAGUUAUGGGAUUGUAGUGUUUGCUUAACCAUACUCUUCUAUAAAUAUUAACAGGCAAGCCGCGUGCAGUUUGACAAAAACAGAGUCUAUUCCAGCUUUGAAAAGUCCUAGUGAUCCAUUUUCCUAGGCUGCUACUACAGCUACUACCAUGUCUCUACACACAUUGGAUGAGUCAUACUCCAGUGUUUCCCUCCUCCCCUCUCUCCCCAGAAAACUUUCCUUAAUCUGUCUCCAGUGCCUUGCAGUCAGGUGAAGUCUUCAUUGACCUCUUCGUAGCCAGCUCUACCCUCCUUAACCUGUGAACAUCUUCAGACACUGCUCCUGCAGUCUACAGAGAGCAAGAUCUGUUCCACAACAGAGGAUCCUUUGAGUUGUAGUGUUUACCAUGCUAUCUCAAGCCCUAACCACUUCAUUCUCUGUAAUUUGAUUAUUUGGUCAUGCCCUGGAAUGCAAAGUACGACUCUGAUGUAUUUGUAUAAGCCUAGCCUCUUCAAGUACAGUUAGUAGCUGAAUGAUGUAUGUUAAUGACAUGCUCUCAAUAAUUUUUAUAAUGCGAGAUCUCUGCCCAGAUUUAAUGUUUAAUAUCCCUGGGAUUCACAUUGAAAUUAUUACACACAUUAUGUAUUCCAUUCCUUGGACUUGGAAUUAAUUUCAAAACAGAGCAAAAGUGCAUCCUAUUUGUUUUCUUGUGGGACUUUGCAUCAGUAACAGUCUAUUUAUUCUGGAGUUUCUGAAGUUAGAAAUACCUUCUCCCUUUGCUAUCUUUGAUCUAUCCUGACGAACUGUGCAGAACAUUUCAUUUCUUUGUCUUGUCUCAGUUAUGCCAUUUCCUCAUUCACUUGAAAAAUAUUUAUUCUAGCAAAAUUUACCUCCUUGAGUAAACGACACGGGUUGUUAGAAAACAGCCUCACUGAAUCUUUGACAUAAAGCUGUCUGCCAAAAAUAAACAGAAAAAAAAAAAGAAAGAAAAAGCUGCUUCUCUAGACUCUUUUUAUGGAAGGCUGCAUAGGAGGAUUCAUAAUCUGCAUCGCUUUGAUCGAUCAUUCAAUCUUUGCAUUGGUGAUGUUUCUAAUACAGGGGCUUAGCCUCUGGAAUGACUCCAAACAGGA
Molecule: non-coding RNA, 1296 nt
Organism: Coturnix japonica (Japanese quail)
Lineage: Eukaryota; Metazoa; Chordata; Aves; Galliformes; Phasianidae
Source: RefSeq, a predicted model, not a curated record